Molecule: long non-coding RNA, 495 nt
Filed under: Homo sapiens (human)
Lineage: Eukaryota; Metazoa; Chordata; Mammalia; Primates; Hominidae
Description: HSALNT0362389
Source: RNAcentral
CAAAACCUACGUCCGCUCCAAGGGCCGGAAGUUCGAGCGUGCCAGAGGCCGACUGGACAACCAAGGCCACAAAAACUAACCCGGGGCUGGGAGCGGUGGCUCACGCCUGUAAUCCCAGCACUUUGGGAUGCCGAGGCGGGGCGGAUCACGAACGAGAGUAUCUGUUUUGCAUUCCUUACUUGGUGGAGGUAGAAUGAGAGCCAAUGAUUCUUCACCAUCACACAGCCGGUUAUCAAGAUAGCCCUUCAGUCACAAGCAAUGCCCAGUGAACUGCAGAUUCUCAUCAGUUCAGAACAAGGCCACACAUGGAGACAAAGCAUGAUGAAUAGUCUGUUACUAUAACCCAGAGGAGCUGACCUUGGCAUUGACAAUCCUGCAAAAAUAGGGUGAAGCAAUAAAGGGAGAAAAAAAUCACCACAUCCUCCUUACCCACUUUGGGUGAAACCUGAGCUUGAGAAGAGGAGAUGCUUUGAACGGAAGAGAUAAAGCUUUUUU